Molecule: ribosomal RNA, 1340 nt
Filed under: uncultured bacterium
Lineage: Bacteria
Description: bacterial SSU rRNA
Rfam family: Bacterial small subunit ribosomal RNA
Source: RNAcentral
GACGAACUGCUGGCGGCGUGCCUAAUACAUGCAAGUCGAGCGAAGUUUUUCUGGUGCUUGCACUAGAAAAACUUAGCGGCGAACGGGUGAGUAACACGUAAAGAACCUGCCUCAUAGACUGGGACAACUAUUGGAAACGAUAGCUAAUACCGGAUAACAGUAUUUCUCGCAUGAGAGAUAUUUAAAAGUUGGUUAUGCUAACACUAUGAGAUGGCUUUGCGGUGCAUUAGCUAGUUGGUGGGGUAAAGGCCCACCAAGGCGACGAUGCAUAGCCGACCUGAGAGGGUGAUCGGCCACACUGGGACUGAGACACGGCCCAGACUCCUACGGGAGGCAGCAGUAGGGAAUCCUCCGCAAUGGGCGAAAGCCUGACGGAGCAACGCCGCGUGAGUGAAGAAGGAUUUCGGUUCGUAAAGCUCUGUUGUUAGGGAAGAAUGGAUAUGUAGUAACUAUACAUGUAAGAGACGGUACCUAACCAGAAAGCCACGGCUAACUACGUGCCAGCAGCCGCGGUAAUACGUAGGUGGCAAGCGUUGUCCGGAAUUAUUGGGCGUAAAGCGCGCGCAGGUGGUUUAAUAAGUCUGAUGUGAAAGCCCACGGCUCAACCGUGGAGGGUCAUUGGAAACUGUUAAACUUGAGUGCGGGAGAGAAAAGUGGAAUUCCUAGUGUAGCGGUGAAAUGCGUAGAGAUUAGGAGGAACACCAGUGGCGAAGGCGGCUUUUUGGCCUGUAACUGACACUGAGGCGCGAAAGCGUGGGGAGCAAACAGGAUUAGAUACCCUGGUAGUCCACGCCGUAAACGAUGAGUGCUAAGUGUUGGUCUCAUAAGAGAUCAGUGCUGCAGCUAACGGCAUUAACCACUCCGCCUGGGGAGUACGACCGCAAGGUUGAAACUCAAAUGAAUUGACGGGGACCCGCACAAGCGGCGGAGCAUGUGGUUUAAUUCGAAGCAACGCGAAGAACCUUACCAAGUCUUGACAUACUGUGAGGACACAAGAGACUGUGUUGCUCUGACCAUUGGUUAGACACAGAUACAGGUGGUGCAUGGUUGUCGUCACCUCGUGUGCUGAGAUGUUGGGUUAACUCCCGCAACCAGCGCAGCCCUUAUAUCUAGUUGCCACCAGUAAGAUGGGGACUCUUCAUAUACUGCCAGUGAUAAACUGGAGGAAGGUGGGGAUGACGUCAAAUCAUCAUGCCUCGUUAUGAUUGCGUCACCCACGUGCUACAAUGCACAAUACACAAGGCUGCUGACUCGCGCAGUGUCAACAAACCCCCUACAGUUGUCCUUUGUCCGUGUUGGAGUCUGCCCCUCCACUUCCUUAACCCUGGAACCGGAAGUAA